UGGGGAAUUUUGGACGAAUUGGGCGAAAGCCUGAUCCAGCAAUGCCGCGUGUGUGAAGAAGGCCUUCGGGUUGUAAAGCACUUUUGUCCGGAAAGAAAUCCUUGGCUCUAAUACAGUCGGGGGAUGACGGUACCGGAAGAAUAAGCACCGGCUAACUACGUGCCAGCAGCCGCGGUAAUACGUAGGGUGCAAGCGUUAAUCGGAAUUACUGGGCGUAAAGCGUGCGCAGGCGGUUUGCUAAGACCGAUGUGAAAUCCCCGGGCUCAACCUGGGAACUGCAUUGGUGACUGGCAGGCUAGAGUAUGGCAGAGGGGGGUAGAAUUCCACGUGUAGCAGUGAAAUGCGUAGAGAUGUGGAGGAAUACCGAUGGCGAAGGCAGCCCCCUGGGCAAUACGACGCUCAUGCACGAAAGCGUGGGGAGCAAAC
This 426-nucleotide ribosomal RNA is filed under the name uncultured bacterium. Its description in RNAcentral is "partial 16S ribosomal RNA". It matches the Rfam family "Bacterial small subunit ribosomal RNA", at positions 355 to 773 of the family's 1533-position model. The record is from RNAcentral.